RNAcentral lists this ribosomal RNA (465 nucleotides) under Vreelandella stevensii. RNAcentral's name for it is "partial 16S ribosomal RNA". It matches the Rfam family "Bacterial small subunit ribosomal RNA", at positions 338 to 795 of the family's 1533-position model. The record is from RNAcentral. Lineage: Bacteria; Pseudomonadati; Pseudomonadota; Gammaproteobacteria; Oceanospirillales; Halomonadaceae.
CCUACGGGCGGCAGCAGUGGGGAAUAUUGGACAAUGGGCGAAAGCCUGAUCCAGCCAUGCCGCGUGUGUGAAGAAGGCCUUCGGGUUGUAAAGCACUUUCAGUGGGGAAGAAAGCCUUGGGGCUAAUACCCUCGAGGAAGGACAUCACCCACAGAAGAAGCACCGGCUAACUCCGUGCCAGCAGCCGCGGUAAUACGGAGGGUGCGAGCGUUAAUCGGAAUUACUGGGCGUAAAGCGCGCGUAGGCGGUCUGAUAAGCCGGUUGUGAAAGCCCCGGGCUCAACCUGGGAACGGCAUCCGGGACUGUCAGGCUAGAGUGCAGGAGCGGAAGGUGGAAUUCCCGGUGUAGCGGUGAAAUGCGGAGAGAUCGGGAGGAAUACCAGUGGCGAAGGCGGCCUUCUGGACUGACACUGACGCUGAGGUGCGAAAGCGUGGGUAGCAAACAGGAUUAGAUACCCCGGUAGUC